UUAGUGGCGGACGGGUGAGUAACGCGUGGGUAACCUGCCUUAUACAGGGGGAUAACAACCAGAAAUGGUUGCUAAUACCGCAUAAGCGCACAGGACCGCAUGGUCCGGUGUGAAAAACUCCGGUGGUAUAAGAUGGACCCGCGUUGGAUUAGCUAGUUGGCAGGGUAACGGCCUGCCAAGGCGACGAUCCAUAGCCGGCCUGAGAGGGUGAACGGCCACAUUGGGACUGAGACACGGCCCAG
RNAcentral lists this ribosomal RNA (242 nucleotides) under uncultured bacterium. RNAcentral's name for it is "partial 16S ribosomal RNA". It matches the Rfam family "Bacterial small subunit ribosomal RNA", at positions 92 to 334 of the family's 1533-position model. The record is from RNAcentral.